AGUAUGAUUCGGUAGUACACUGCAUCUCUACAAACAUGUUCGGCAAAAUUUUGGUCCUCUUUGCUGUCCUGGCUGUGGCGUUCGCCGCACCCAAUCCUGCGCCAGAACCAAAGCCCCAGUACUUGGCCUACACCUCUGGUCUGGGCUAUAGCGUGCCUGCCGCUGUCUCUGGCUACGUUUCUCCCUACGCAGCGGCCCCUGUUGCCUACUCUGCCUACCCUGGAGCUUACUACGUCCGCUGAAAACCAACAAUACCAUUUUAACUCC
This is a long non-coding RNA of Hyposmocoma kahamanoa, 267 nucleotides long. RefSeq lists it as uncharacterized. Lineage: Eukaryota; Metazoa; Arthropoda; Insecta; Lepidoptera; Cosmopterigidae. The record is from RefSeq and is a predicted model, not a curated record. The transcript is spliced from 2 exons.